Molecule: signal recognition particle RNA, 100 nt
Filed under: Bacteroidota bacterium
Lineage: Bacteria; Pseudomonadati; Bacteroidota
Also listed under: 1 other name
Description: Bacteroidetes bacterium signal recognition particle sRNA small type
Rfam family: Bacteroidales small SRP
About the family: The non-coding component of the signal recognition particle in Bacteroides
Source: RNAcentral
GGGCAAGUCUUAUGCAGCCAGCUCCCUUCGAAUUCCGUCAGGGUCGGAAGGCAGCAGCGGUAGAAGGUCGUAGCGGCGUGAUAUAAGUAGCUUGCCCCUC